Molecule: ribosomal RNA, 253 nt
Filed under: uncultured bacterium
Lineage: Bacteria
Description: partial 16S ribosomal RNA
Rfam family: Bacterial small subunit ribosomal RNA
Source: RNAcentral
UACGAAGGGGGCUAGCGUUGCUCGGAAUCACUGGGCGUAAAGGGUGCGUAGGCGGGUCUUUAAGUCAGGGGUGAAAUCCUGGAGCUCAACUCCAGAACUGCCUUUGAUACUGAGGAUCUUGAGUUCGGGAGAGGUGAGUGGAACUGCGAGUGUAGAGGUGAAAUUCGUAGAUAUUGCAAGAACACCAGUGGCGAAGGCGGCUCACUGGCCCGGUACUGACGCUGAGGUGCGAAAGCGUGGGGGGCAAACAGGG